RNAcentral lists this long non-coding RNA (732 nucleotides) under Capra hircus (goat). RNAcentral's name for it is "lncRNA (ENSCHIG00000001245.1)". The record is from RNAcentral. Lineage: Eukaryota; Metazoa; Chordata; Mammalia; Artiodactyla; Bovidae.
AAGCUAUCCAGCACAGAUUGCCUUGCCUGGCUUGAGAUGGGCAUUUUGCUACCAGUGUAGACUGAGAUUCAUCUAGGAGAAAGAAGAAAAAUAUCUCUGUGUAGGCAACCAAUACUGUCUGCCAUACUCACACUUGGGUAGUGUGAGACAGUUUGGAGAUGGAUUUAAGGUGAGAAAUGGAUCACAAAGCCCUCGCAAGAGAUGCUGGGAUAACUUUUGUGUAUGUGUGCUCAAUUGUGUCUGUCCUUUGUGACACCAUGGACUAAAGCCCACCAGGCUCCUCUGUCCAUGGAAUUUCCUGGGCAAGAAUACUGGAAUGGGUUGUCUUUCCUUUCUCCAGGGGAUCUUCCCAACCCAGGGCUCAAAUCUGUGCCUCCUGCUUGGCAUGCAGAUUCUUCACCACUGCACCACCUGGCAAGUGGGAUAACUGUUAUCUGCCCUAAUUCUAUAAGGAGGAUUCUAUAUUCUAUUAAAGAUGUGUAAAGCAUCCUCAGUGAAAGAAACACAGCUGAAAUGAUUGCAAAUACACGGCGUGGUAUGUACUACAAUUCCAUUAUUGCAAGCAACAAUUCAAUUGAAAAGGUUACUUUGACUAUUGUUUUAGUUGGAACCAUGUUUGUUUUCAUAUUCUCAGUUGCUAAAUGCAGACAGUCAGAAUUUCUAACAAUAGCCACAGUAUGUGGCUGUAACAGCAGUGUUCUUGCCUCAUGUAGGUAGCGUCAAAAUAGUUGC